This 83-nucleotide ribosomal RNA is filed under the name Buddleja officinalis. RNAcentral's name for it is "partial 5.8S ribosomal RNA". Lineage: Eukaryota; Viridiplantae; Streptophyta; Magnoliopsida; Lamiales; Scrophulariaceae. The record is from RNAcentral.
UGCAGAAUCCCAUAAACCAUCGAGAUUUUAAAUGCAAGUUGAGCCCGAAGCCAUUAGGCCGGGGACACGUCUGCCUGGACGUC